RNAcentral lists this ribosomal RNA (360 nucleotides) under uncultured bacterium. RNAcentral's name for it is "SSU rRNA". It matches the Rfam family "Bacterial small subunit ribosomal RNA", at positions 26 to 377 of the family's 1533-position model. The record is from RNAcentral.
AGAACGAACGCUGGCGGCGUGUUUAAGACAUGCAAGUCGCACGGGACAAGUUGAGUAGUAAUACGAGGUUUGUUUAGUGGCGCACGGGUGAGUAACAUGUGAAUUACAUGCCCUUCAGAGGAGAAUAACCAGCCGAAAGGCUGACUAAUACUCCAUAGUAUCGCAAGAUUAAAGGUGGCCAGCACGCAAGUGUUGGCUGUCGCUGAAGGAUUGGUUCGCACCCUAUCAGCUUGUUGGCGGGGUAAUGGCCCACCAAGGCUACGACGGGUACCUGGUCUGAGAGGACGAUCAGGCACACUGGAACUGAGACACGGUCCAGACACCUACGGGUGGCAGCAGUCGAGAAUAUCACAAUGGGGC